The sequence is a regulatory RNA element, 78 nucleotides long. It matches the Rfam family "Coronavirus frameshifting stimulation element". From Rfam's summary of the family: In the classical situation a sequence 32nt downstream of the stem is complementary to part of the loop. Revised in 2020-2021 to expand the seed alignment. The record is from Rfam.
GGGCAAGGGGUUCUAGUGGAGCUCGACUAGAACCCUGUGGUAAUGGUACUGAACCUGAUGUAGUUGUAAGAGCUUUUG